GUGCUGCUUCAGAAGUAUGUAUUCUAAGAUUGGAACAGUACAGAGAUUAGCAUGGCCCCUGUGCAAGAAUGACAUGCAAAUUUGUGAAGCACUCCAUAUUUUU
Small nuclear RNA from Vicugna pacos (alpaca), 103 nucleotides. Lineage: Eukaryota; Metazoa; Chordata; Mammalia; Artiodactyla; Camelidae. The record is from Ensembl.